UACAGAGGGUGCAAGCGUUGUUCGGAAUUAUUGGGCGUAAAGCGCGUGUAGGCGGCUUUGCAAGUCGGGUGUGAAAGCCCUCAGCUCAACUGAGGAAGUGCGCCCGAAACUGCAGAGCUUGAGUGCCGGAGAGGGUGGCGGAAUUCCCCAAAGUAGAGGUGAAAUUCGUAGAUAUGGGGAGGAACACCGGUGCGAAGGCGGCCACCUGGACGGUAACUGACGCUGAGACGCGAAAGCGUGGGUAGCAAACAGG
Molecule: ribosomal RNA, 253 nt
Filed under: uncultured bacterium
Lineage: Bacteria
Description: partial 16S ribosomal RNA
Rfam family: Bacterial small subunit ribosomal RNA
Source: RNAcentral